GUUUGUAAGGUGAUUACUCAAAAUCGUUAUUUGAAAAUCCUGUUUGUGAGAUGUAGAUUCAUUUCAAUACAGAAAUUUCGUCUAUAUAUUUCACAAGUGUAUAACACGGAGAAGCUCUGAAGGUUCAUUACUCCCAUUUUGUUUGGGUGUGAACCAUCGAUGUUUACAGCAAUAUCAAAGAAUAAGGUGAAGAUGGUAGAAAGAACUAUGGGCGUCAUGUGGCAAAUAUUACAUGCAUAUCGGACAAUGAGUUGUCAAUCUGUAUGAAAAGAUUUCCAAUACAACUAUAUUAUUGAGAAGGAAUGUUUACAUGCUAUACUCUCGUACUAGUAUUACAGGGUUCUUGUGGCGUUCACCUUAGACACACAUCAUUUUAACGAUGUUUAAAAAAAGACAGAACCAAUUUAAUGUCAUAUUUCCCUAUUUUUUAAAUAUAACUAAAUUCUUUUAUCUGACAAGAAUACCCCUAUUCAGCGAACAAGUAAUUUAUUCUUUUUUUCUGUUAUUGAAUACCAAGAAAGAAAAUAAAUCCCGAAAUUAAUUUGAAACUUUGAUACUCAAAAGUUUCCCAGCAAAAUAUUCACAUCCCCUGGGGAUAAUUAGUGUUCGUCCAGUGGCAUAUAUAACAAUUGUGAUGACGAACUCCUUCCUUUGUUUGAGAACAAUCUUAUUGAAAUAUAAAUCUGUGAUUUUCCUAGGUCCACAGCUUCAAUGAACCAAAGCAAAAGUUAUACAUCGACCUGUAUUUAAAUCAAAUUGGUUCUCUUCUUCUUUUGGUAUACAACUGUAGUCUAUCGACAUUCGAUGAUUACAUACUGUUGGCAUACGUGGACUAGUCUAUUUUCAACACUUUUACCCCUAUUUAUUCAAAAUAUAUGUUUUUUUCUUAUGUUCAAUGUAUACACGUAUAUAUUUUAAAUUGCGCUAUAGUUCCGUAACUUUCUAUCCAGUCGUAUAAACGAAUCGUCGGCAAGUGCGUACAUUUUUUUAAAUC
This 994-nucleotide long non-coding RNA is filed under the name Mytilus galloprovincialis (Mediterranean mussel). Lineage: Eukaryota; Metazoa; Mollusca; Bivalvia; Mytilida; Mytilidae. The record is from RNAcentral.